CGCGAAUGGCUCAUUACAACAGCUAUAGUUUAUUGGAUGUUUACGUUCCUACAAGGACACCUGCGGUAAUUCUGGAGCUAAUACUUGCGAAAUGCGACAACCUCACGGGAGUCGUGCAUUUAUUAGAUUAAACCAAUCGGUCCUUCGGGACCGCCAUUUGGUGAACUCUGAAUAACUUAGCUGAUCGCACAGUCUCGUACUGGCGACAAAUCUUUCAAGUGUCUGCCUUAUCAACUUUCGAUGGUAGUUUAUACGACUACCAUGGUUGUAACGGGUAACGGAGAAUAAGGGUUCGACUCCGGAGAGGGAGCCUGAGAAACGGCUACCACAUCCAAGGAAGGCAGCAGGCGCGCAAAUUACCCACUCGCAGAACGCGGAGGUAGUGACGAAAAAUAACGAGGUGGCUCUCUAUGAGGUCCAUCAUCGGAAUGGGUACAAUUUAAAUCCUUUAACGAGGAUCUAUUGGAGGGCAAGUCUGGUGCCAGCAGCCGCGGUAAUUCCAGCU
This 505-nucleotide ribosomal RNA is filed under the name Trichodorus primitivus. RNAcentral's name for it is "SSU rRNA". It matches the Rfam family "Eukaryotic small subunit ribosomal RNA", at positions 88 to 590 of the family's 1831-position model. Lineage: Eukaryota; Metazoa; Nematoda; Enoplea; Triplonchida; Trichodoridae. The record is from RNAcentral.